UAGCGGCGGACGGGUGAGUAACACGUAGGCAACCUGCCCUCAAGACUGGGAUAACUACCGGAAACGGUAGCUAAUACCGGAUAAUUUAUUUUGCAGCAUUGUGGAAUAAUGAAAGGCGGAGCAAUCUGUCACUUGAGGAUGGGCCUGCGGCGCAUUAGCUAGUUGGUGGGGUAACGGCCCACCAAGGCGACGAUGCGUAGCCGACCUGAGAGGGUGAACGGCCACACUGGGACUGAGACACGGCCCAGACUCCUACGGGAGGCAGCAGUAGGGAAUCUUCCGCAAUGGGCGAAAGCCUGACGGAGCAACGCCGCGUGAGUGAUGAAGGUUUUCGGAUCGUAAAGCUCUGUUGCCAAGGAAGAACGUCUUCUAGAGUAACUGCUAGGAGAGUGACGGUACUUGAGAAGAAAGCCCCGGCUAACUACGUGCCAGCAGCCGCGGUAAUACGUAGGGGGCAAGCGUUGUCCGGAAUUAUUGGGCGUAAAGCGCGCGCAGGCGGUUCUUUAAGUCUGGUGUUUAAACCCGAGGCUCAACUUCGGGUCGCACUGGAAACUGGGGAACUUGAGUG
RNAcentral lists this ribosomal RNA (568 nucleotides) under Paenibacillus sp. RSC11. Its description in RNAcentral is "bacterial SSU rRNA". It matches the Rfam family "Bacterial small subunit ribosomal RNA", at positions 93 to 648 of the family's 1533-position model. The record is from RNAcentral. Lineage: Bacteria; Bacillati; Bacillota; Bacilli; Caryophanales; Paenibacillaceae.